Gallus gallus (chicken) is the source of this 2113-nucleotide long non-coding RNA. Lineage: Eukaryota; Metazoa; Chordata; Aves; Galliformes; Phasianidae. The record is from Ensembl.
AGCUGAAAAAUGAGUCUCAUAAUGGAAGGUGUCUGGCGUCCUUAUCAAGAGCUGCUCCUUGUGCUACCAACAACGUUCACACACAGCCUGUGAUGUCUGGGACACUGAAGUGUUAUAUGAAUUAGAAUUUCCCAGGACCAUUCAACCAUACAGAUAUUGAGCAAACAGAAGAGAUAGUUAUAUUAGCUAUGGGUAUCAACAUACUCUCAAGAAUGUGUGAAACAGCUGGAUUGAGUACAGUAUGUAUAGAGCUGAGAACAGGAACUGCUAAUAUGCUUUUUAAAUCUAAGCUAGAUUUUGUCAAAAAUGAUAAAUCCCGUGGGACACCGAUAUGAAUCCUGGGUUUCUUUCAGCUUCUGGAAGAUCUAGUUGAUUUUUUUAAAACUGGCGUUUAAAAAUUCCCUGAAAUGGAUCCUACAUACUUGAAAAAUCAGUGUAAAGGGGAUUGCUGGAGCUUUCCCAGGCUCUGUUAGUGUUAGCAAUAUGAAAAUUCCCAGUGGAUUUCUCCCAUUACAUUUCUAGAUAAAUCUGGAAAUUCCCACAUGGAAUUAAUUGUCCAGAACAAGUGUAAGUUGGGAUGGAUAUGAACCUCAUAAGAGAUGGCCAUUUUCUAAACCUUAGGAAGAAAACUAGUUUACUUAUUGACCUCUUUAUAUAUCUUGAUCAUGUGGAUUGCCCAUAAUUUGCAGUAAUGGUCUACAUCUCAAAUGGAGUAGUCUUCAUUGGCUUUACUAGGAUGACUUGGUGAGGAAGCUCCUUGUGUGAUUAAGGGAAUGGGUGGUAUGGGGGUGGAUGAUGUAGAGGCAAACAACACAGCAGAAAAGACCAGGAGACAGAUAAAAAAUCAGUAGCUUGGAUGCUAAACUGACAUGGAAUAUGAGGACAGGCCAAAUUACGUGCAAUGGUAAGGAUCUGUAUGGAAAAUGAACUAAUUCUUAGAAUUAUGAAGUGACAAAGUCAUGUCUGCACCAAGUUAAAGAAAGUGAGGAAUAAACUUCUUUCAAUAAAACUGUCAUUUUGAGAAGUGCAUGAUAGGGCAGACAGGGAGUGAAAAUAUCUCAAUGCCAAUUACACUGAAUGUCAAAUGGAAAAGGCUCGUUGAGCACAGUGAAGACAGUUAAUUUUUGUAACGUUUCACCAGGAAAACUUGACAGGAGGUGGACAGUAAUUAAUGUAAAUUGUGAGGAAAAGCCCAGGAAAUCAAAUGUUAGCAGCCUCCACAGUGAAACAAAAUGAGUUAAUCAUAAUUAUCAUUAUUACAAUGUGUAUCAGAGGAUUUAAUAAUUGUUAGUUAAUUGCCACCAGUACCAUCCUAACUUUCUCCUAUGCAUUUGCAUGUUUUCCACCUCCUAUUUGGUCUCAUUAUUUUUAAAUAGAUGCUGUCAACUUGAAAUCCAAGCUUUUAAAAAAUAAAUUAAAAGCUGUUUCUUUCCUUCUGCCAAUUAUGACUUUGCAGGUACAUACUGCUAUUUUAAACAUGUUUUUUCUUCCUCAUGUAUAAAAGCCACAGAAAGAAAAUGGACUGCUCUGAACAGUGACCAUGAUUUUUAAAAAAUUGCCACCAAAGAUCUGAAAUAAACAAACUGGAAAAUUUCUUUCAUUGUGGUCUCUUCCAGGGCUCAUAAUCUCAGAAAUGAAUAUGGUGGCUGAUGAGAACUGUACUUUUGGACAAACGUAAUGCAGGGUUACAGAUGAGAAUCAAAGCUUCAGCUACAUUUCUCUCAUAUAUCUUACAAGAGCUGCAUUUUACAGGAGAGGUUUUCUGGGUUUCUUAUCAGUGGGGAAUACACCUCUGAGAAAUGCAGGAUUUGCUGCAGCAGAUACCCUUGUCUUGAAUUUAAAAUGAAAAUUGAAACUUCUGUAAGGUUAUGUUUUGAUUCUAGGGAACAACAGUGCCAGAGACCUUUGAAUCAUUGGCAUUACUCAUUUUAGAGAAGGACCUACUACAUCCAAGUCAGUAAUUUUUCUGAUGCUCAACAGUGCACAGUCUGUUAUUUGUGUUUGUCAUCCUUUAUACAUGACCACAGCUUUCAUUAUUUAUACUUCUAUCAUGUCCUUUGUAUACAUGUACUUUAUUACGUCCUGGAGACAAAAUAAACUUCUUUUUAAAACC